GAGAAAGCAAAAAAAAAAAAUAAAAUUAAAAAAAAAAAGGCUCUUCCGACGCUGCCAACUGCCUAAAAUUAACCGAACUCAUUUCAAAGGGUUUAAAUUCGGCUGCUGCAGCGGAGGACAGUGCUGUAGAGAAGAAAAAAGGGUCAAGCAGGUUCACAACAACAUGAAGACCCAUCACCAUGCCCCGAGUCGUCCAGGGGAGAAAGCUCCUCCAUUUCUUUACUCAUCCUGAGCUGAAGACUGUCCUGAAGGAAAAUGCUAAAUCUGAAUGCAGAUUGUUUUGUGCUGGUCCAGGGUCUCUUGGGGUCAUGGUUCUGGGAACAGCCUCCUCUACUUGGCUGAGUAUGUCAUUCAGGACUGCAGAAGAGGCUCUGUCUGAGGGUGAUGGGGGCUGGGAGACCGCAGAAGAUCCUGGACUGCAACUGAUGAUUGAACAAGCUGCUUGCAGAUGCCUUCUCUGGCUCUGACGAACUAAAAGAGAAUGAGCAAUUUUUAAAGUGGUUUUCAACUGGUGGGCUUCAACCAAAGAUUGGCUUGUACGUCUGUUCUGAUAAAAAAAAAAAAAUUGAAAAAUAACAGAAAUAAAUUAAAUUGAUAUGCA
Molecule: long non-coding RNA, 601 nt
Organism: Megalobrama amblycephala (Wuchang bream)
Lineage: Eukaryota; Metazoa; Chordata; Actinopteri; Cypriniformes; Xenocyprididae
Exons: 5
Source: RefSeq, a predicted model, not a curated record